This 107-nucleotide small nucleolar RNA is filed under the name Nelumbo nucifera (sacred lotus). RNAcentral's name for it is "Plant small nucleolar RNA R71". It matches the Rfam family "Plant small nucleolar RNA R71". Rfam says of the family: R71 is a member of the C/D box family of snoRNAs containing the C (UGAUGA) and D (CUGA) box motifs. Lineage: Eukaryota; Viridiplantae; Streptophyta; Magnoliopsida; Proteales; Nelumbonaceae. The record is from Rfam by way of RNAcentral.
AGUUCAUGAUGAGGGACUUUCCUCAAUAACUCCUUGUAACGCUCCCAUGAUUCAUACAAUGACUCUCCGUCCUACUAAUAAAAGGUGGUGAUAUCAUUCCUCAUCUU